UUUUGUCUUGGUUUCUAUAGUCCUAUGAACUUUUGAUGGAAGGUUUCAUAUUAGGCUGUGCAGUUUGACCUGCAGGCCAGUGGAUGGCGUUUGCAGGUGAGAGCCAGCUACCACACAAGCAGCUGGGUUUGGACCUGAUCUCUGUUAUUGUGAUGUGCUGUCCUGUUGUUUCUGGUGACGGGCUAGUGGGAUGUCUAGUUCCCUGAGCCUCCUUUCCUAUGAGAGGGGCGGGAUACAGUUGGGCAGAGCUGGAGCCCCUGGAUUACUCACGAAUGUCCUGAUGGCAAGUGCAGGCACCAGCCCUAAUGAGACUGGCUCGGAGGAGCUCCUGGUGUAGAGCACUGAGGUUUUUGUUAGGCCAGUGGUUGGUAAGGGACCUGCGCUGCUCCCUGUCCUAGAUAGCCAGGAAUGUGAUUUUUUAUUUUUACCUGUCACACCCUGUUCCAUGGCUCAUGACUCCUAGUUCAGAGGCAGACUAUAGUCUAUCUCCAGACCACAAUGGGAUUGAGAGCCACAGGGAACAUCUGUUUUGCUACUCUCCAUGGGAGUGGUUGCAAGGCAUAACCUCGUCCUACAACCUGACGCAGAUAGCUUUAAUACUUGCCUGUUCUCUGAUGUGGCAGUACUACUGCCUAUUGUAAAAGGUCUCCACACUUGAUCCCAUGCUCAUGUUAGUUGGUUGUGGUGGUAUCAGUUGAUUGGGUUAGCCCAACCUCAGGCCCUAGAGGAAGUGGUCAGGUGCCAAUAGAGUUGGAAUGGGGCAGGUUGUUCUCCAGUUCCCAAGCCCCUAAAUGGCACACUGGGCAGCUUGCAUAAGUCCUGGCAGGGCUGCAUUUCAGUCGAGCUAGUCCAGGUGCUGGCUUUGAGUGGGAUGGGCAGGCUGGUCCCCAGGACACUGGCCAGAUUCUCAGGCAGGGGCAGACAGUACACUUAGGUGAUGGGAACCUGAGGGAAUGUCACAGAUCUGUUGGGGUUGAGUUUUCAGAGGAACUCUGAACCACAAGUGGAAUGAUUUGGUGAGGCCAGGACAGCUGUGCUGUGGGGCUUUUACUGGGAAAUACAGGUCUCCUCAACUGGGCAAUGGAGAUUGACAGCUGUGGACCAUGUGGCACACUCACACGUCCCUUCCAUAGAAGCAAUGUUGAGGUUAACUGUUGGGAGCAUGCAGAGGUGCCAAGCAUUGUUACCUCUGGGAGUUUUACUCCAGAGGAACACAGCGGCACAACCAACCAUAGUGGUCAGGUCGGGGUAAGAUUGUUGCACCAGAAGCCCAAACCAAUGAGCCUUACCUAACUAGAAGCAGCAGGGGCAGGGGAUU
Molecule: long non-coding RNA, 1318 nt
Filed under: Macaca fascicularis (crab-eating macaque)
Lineage: Eukaryota; Metazoa; Chordata; Mammalia; Primates; Cercopithecidae
Description: lncRNA (ENSMFAG00000047719.1)
Source: RNAcentral